Molecule: non-coding RNA, 2157 nt
Organism: Rattus norvegicus (Norway rat)
Lineage: Eukaryota; Metazoa; Chordata; Mammalia; Rodentia; Muridae
Source: RefSeq, a predicted model, not a curated record
UUCAAAAGCCACAAUGUCUUGCCACCACUUCCUCACCCAAAAAGCCAAACCCACUGAAGUGGAAGGUGGGAGGCAGUGCUUGUUUAGCUUGGCUUCUGUUCCAAUUUGAAGCUCAGCUCUAAAACAGACAAACAGCAAAAUCCCUUCAGUUUCUUCCCUAUUUGUAAAACAGAAAACAAAACCCCACUUGCAACGCAGCCAACCUGUCAUCUUCUCAGAAAGCUGAGGCUAGAAACUCUGACCGCUGAAACUUUACUGAGGUCUGUAAGAGCCAGGAACUAGGGAGGGUGCUUACCUGACUCCUUGUGUCACUCUGGGGCAGUAGUGAAGGCAGGAGCUUUCUAACAACUAUGUCACUUGGUCCUAAAGUAAAAACAAAGCCCACAUUUCUCCAUCCAUUCCUCAGAUAUCCUGACAAAAUAUUCUGCCUGAUUCCUAAAGGCUGAUUUGAGGAAAUGGCCUCCUGAUAGUCCUUAGAUUGUUGAAGGUGGAGUGUUGCCAUGGUAAUGGAGCUUUCUUUGUGUGGUAAGUGCUUGGUGGACAUUCUAUACUAAGAACCUUCUUCUGGACUUGGCCCUGACUGAGAAAACAGCCGAAAACAAUUGUGCUGGCUUGUUUUAUGUCAAUCUGACAUAAGAUAGAGUCAUCAGAAUGGAAGGAACCUCGAUGGAUAAAAUACCUCCAUAGAUCAGCUGUGGGCAUUGAUAGGGGAGAGCCCAGCCCAUUGUGGGUGGAGCUGUCCCUGGACUCGUAGUCCUGGGAUCUAGAAGAAAGCAAGCUGAGCAAGCCAUGGGGAGCAAGUCAGUAAGCAGCACCCCUCCAUGGACUUUGCAUCAGCUCCUGCCUCCAAGUUCCUUGCCCUGUUUAAAUUCCUGUCCUGACUUCCCUCAAUAAUGAAUAGUGAUGUGGAAGCAUAAACUAAAUAAACCCUUUCCUUUUCAAUUUGCUUUUAGUCAUGGGUUUCUCAUUGCUAGGACAAUGAUGUACCAAGAUCCAGAUUUAGUUCCUUUACGGAACAGUUCUCAGAAUUCCGCUAAUCUUGGAACCCCUGUAGACAAAGAGGGAGCAGGCACCAGAAACGAAAAGCAAGCACUGAAGUCAAGAGUCUCCAAGGAUCUCAACAACCCCAUGCCUCAGACAAAGCAUGAGACAACCCACGAGCCACAAGUCAAAGUCCUCACCCACAAGCCUCGCUGCUGUUACCUUAAAAUCCAGAAAAGUCAGCACGAUCUAAUCCUCAAAAUGGAAAUCAGACCCGUAUCCCACACAACUGAUGUCCAGCGAACUCUUGAAGAACAAUCUGUCCUUUUCUUGGGAACUCUCUCACAUGUUUUGUGGGAGGUAAGGACUCUAACAAGCAACAUUGUAGCCAUGAGAUGUAAGCCUGAGAAGACAUGGUCCUUGCAAUCCAACAAGGUCCAACAGACACACUGUGAAAGAUCUUGCUCCUUAGAGACAAGUGCAAACCUUACAGAAAUUACUACUCUCCUGAAAUGACAAUCUGCUGGUCUGAAACAAGGGGAAAAGGUCCAAGGAUGCGUAUUGUCAUAAACAACCAUACAAAAUUACUUUUUUUAGCUACUUUAAGGCAGAUAAAUAUAAUGUAGCACAGCUAAUUUCUCUGUGGAUUUAGACCUUUACUUUUCUCUAGGAUUCUACCUACAAUUAAUGAUUUUUCUACAAUACUUUAAAAUGGAAAUGAAGUGGGAAUAAAAACAUAUUCACUAACUCUCUGUAAGAGAAAGUAUCUAGCAAGAUUCAGCAUCCCAUAACAGAAUAAGCAGAGUAGCAAAGCUGCUUGGAAGAGAAGCAAUGUAGUAGGAGACUGUUAGGGCUCAUGUCCCUCUGAGGAAUUCAAAGAGCAAAGCACUGUGUUCCAAUGAUACCAAGUGACGGACGCUUCAGUCCCAGGAACUACUAGAACCUUCUGGUGCCGCUUUGGCUGACGUGGACAAAGAAAGAGUUGUGGAACUCACUCUCUGGGUCUUCUGGGGGAACAUCGUUACAAGAGUCUGUGUCCGAGUAGGUUCUGCGGCGUCGCUGAGGAAGUCGGUGAAGGGCAGAUGCUGGUUCUUUGAUGGAGCAGCUACUCCUGCACAUCAAGUAAAAAGUGUUAAGCUGUGAGGCACUAAACCAUAAAAAGACCAUUUCCUCACU